CAAUAGCGUAUAUUAAAGUUGUUGCGGUUAAAAAGCUCGUAGUUGGAUUUCUGCUGAGGACGACCGGUCCGCCCUCUGGGUGAGUAUCUGGCUUGGCCUUGGCAUCUUCUUGGAGAACGUAGCUGCACUUGACUGUGUGGUGCGGUAUCCAGGACUUUUACUUUGAGGAAAUUAGAGUGUUUCAAGCAGGCACACGCCUUGAAUACAUUAGCAUGGAAUAAUAAGAUAGGACCUUGGUUCUAUUUUGUUGGUUUCUAGAGCUGAGGUAAUGAUUAAUAGGGACAGUUGGGGGGCAUUGUAUUUACAACGACAGAGGUGAAAUUCUUGGACUUUGUAAGACGAACUACUGCGAAAGCAUUUGCCAAGAAUGUUUUCAUUA
RNAcentral lists this ribosomal RNA (379 nucleotides) under uncultured eukaryote. Its description in RNAcentral is "SSU rRNA". It matches the Rfam family "Eukaryotic small subunit ribosomal RNA", at positions 592 to 975 of the family's 1831-position model. The record is from RNAcentral.